Molecule: ribosomal RNA, 318 nt
Filed under: Triticum aestivum (bread wheat)
Lineage: Eukaryota; Viridiplantae; Streptophyta; Magnoliopsida; Poales; Poaceae
Description: partial small subunit ribosomal RNA
Source: RNAcentral
AUGUUUUUGCUGCAACCGGUGAUUUGUUUUGUUACACCUGUUUCAUUUUUUUCUACAUUCAUUCAUGGCCGAGCUGAGUCCCGGAACGACAUCGACUUUCUUGUUGCAACCAUUGUAGUUUUUGCUACACCCGUCGAGGAAUUUUGCUACAUCCCCUUUUUUCCUUGUGGAGCUGCAAGCUCGACGACGGCGACAAGGAUUUUUUUUCUGCAACCGUUGUUUCAUUUGCUACAACCGACAUGGAAAAAUGCUACAACGAGCAUCUUUGUUUUUUGCUGGAACCAGUCAAUCAUUGGUGAGGCGAAGCUGCAUCCAUGA